CAUUUCACUGUAAGGUUUACCCCUGUUGUAUUCGGCGCAUGUGACAAAUAAACAUUGAUUUGAUUUUAUUUGAGAGGAACUAUGGCGUUGGUAAUCGGGAUCUUCUUGCAGUCAAGAUGGCACUGGAGGAGUGGAAGCACUGGCUUGAAAGGGCAGAAAACUCAUUCUUAGUUUGGACCGAUCAUAAGAAUCUUGAAUACACCCUUCCCUGCUCGGCCACUGGGCUCUCGCCUUUCGAGUGUUCCCUGGGUUACCAGCCUCCGCUCUUCCCAGAGCAAGAGGAAGAGGUCAGCGUACCUUCAGCACAGAAGUUCGUCCGUCACUGUCGGCAUACCUGGAAGAGAGCCCGGUCCGCUCUUCUUAAGACCACCUCCAGGUAUCAGCGACAGGCGGACCUCCACUGGACCACGGCUCCCCGCUAUAGUCUCGGACAGAGGGUAUGGCUCUCUACUCAGGAUUUGCCCCUCAGAGUGGAGUCCCGUAAACUUUCUCCCUGCUUUAUCGGCCCCUUUCCCAUCUCUAAAAUCAUUAGUCCCAAAGCUGUUCGUCUUCUGUUGCCCCAAACCCUCCCCAUACAUCCCACUUUUCAUGUGUCAAAGAUUAAACCUUUGUCUCACAGCCCUUUGUCUCCUGUUUCCAGGCCCAACCCCCCUCCUCGUCUCAUGGAUGGCCAUCCGGCAUACACGGUGAGACACCUCCAGAGGUUUCCAGUGCCUGGUUGACUGGGAGGGUUACGGUCCGGAAGAGAGGUGCUGGGUCCCCGCUAAGGACUUCCUGGACCUGGCCCCCAUCGCUGACUUUCAACGCCGGCAUCCCGGUCAACCAGUACGAACUGGCCAUGACUGACCCAGUAGACUCGGACCAGCUCCGCAACACUGUCUCCCUGCAUGGAGCCACAAUUGGAAGAAAUGAGGAGCUACUCCAGAACAUUUUGGGCACACUUACUCAUUCAAGAUAAUGCUUUAUAGAAGCCAAAGAAGAAGAAGGCAGAGACAGCGAGCUCAGCCACCAAUGGUGCCGACGCAAAGCCCAAAAAGACCAAGAGCAAGAAGAGUGAUGACCUGUCUGGAGAGGAGAGUCCUGCAGUUCAAAAUGGAAAAAAGGUAAAGAAAAAGAAAGCAGAUGAAGAAAA
Molecule: long non-coding RNA, 1132 nt
Organism: Oncorhynchus tshawytscha (Chinook salmon)
Lineage: Eukaryota; Metazoa; Chordata; Actinopteri; Salmoniformes; Salmonidae
Exons: 4
Source: RefSeq, a predicted model, not a curated record